CAGUAGCCGCGGUAAUACGUAGGUCCCGAGCGUUGUCCGGAUUUAUUGGGCGUAAAGCGAGCGCAGGCGGUUAGAUAAGUCUGAAGUUAAAGGCUGUGGCUUAACCAUAGUACGCUUUGGAAACUGUUUAACUUGAGUGCAAGAGGGGAGAGUGGAAUUCCAUGUGUAGCGGUGAAAUGCGUAGAUAUAUGGAGGAACACCGGUGGCGAAAGCGGCUCUCUGGCUUGUAACUGACGCUGAGGCUCGAAAGCGUGGGGAGCAAACAGGAUUAGAGACCCGAGUAGUCCCUGUCUCUUAUACA
This 301-nucleotide ribosomal RNA is filed under the name uncultured bacterium. RNAcentral describes it as "partial 16S ribosomal RNA". It matches the Rfam family "Bacterial small subunit ribosomal RNA", at positions 509 to 808 of the family's 1533-position model. The record is from RNAcentral.